RNAcentral lists this ribosomal RNA (1340 nucleotides) under uncultured bacterium. Its description in RNAcentral is "bacterial SSU rRNA". It matches the Rfam family "Bacterial small subunit ribosomal RNA", at positions 28 to 1381 of the family's 1533-position model. The record is from RNAcentral.
GACGAACGCUGGCGGCGUGCUUAACACAUGCAAGUCGAACGGAAAGGCCCUGCUUGCAGGGUACUCGAGUGGCGAACGGGUGAGUAACACGUGGGUGAUCUGCCCUGCACUUCGGGAUAAGCCUGGGAAACUGGGUCUAAUACCGGAUAGGAGCCAUUUUUAGUGUGAUGGUUGGAAAGUUUUUUCGGUGUAGGAUGAGCUCGCGGCCUAUCAGCUUGUUGGUGGGGUAAUGGCCUACCAAGGCGGCGACGGGUAGCCGGCCUGAGAGGGUGGACGGCCACAUUGGGACUGAGAUACGGCCCAGACUCCUACGGGAGGCAGCAGUGGGGAAUAUUGCACAAUGGGCGCAAGCCUGAUGCAGCGACGCCGCGUGGGGGAUGACGGCCUUCGGGUUGUAAACUCCUUUCGCUAGGGACGAAGCUUUUUGUGACGGUACCUAGAUAAGAAGCACCGGCUAACUACGUGCCAGCAGCCGCGGUAAUACGUAGGUGGCAAGCGUUAUCCGGAAUUAUUGGGCGUAAAGCGCGCGUAGGCGGUUUUUUAAGUCUGAUGUGAAAGCCCACGGCUCAACCGUGGAGGGUCAUUGGAAACUGGAAAACUUGAGUGCAGAAGAGGAAAGUGGAAUUCCAUGUGUAGCGGUGAAAUGCGCAGAGAUAUGGAGGAACACCAGUGGCGAAGGCGACUUUCUGGUCUGUAACUGACGCUGAUGUGCGAAAGCGUGGGGAUCAAACAGGAUUAGAUACCCUGGUAGUCCACGCCGUAAACGAUGAGUGCUAAGUGUUAGGGGGUUUCCGCCCCUUAGUGCUGCAGCUAACGCAUUAAGCACUCCGCCUGGGGAGUACGACCGCAAGGUUGAAACUCAAAGGAAUUGACGGGGACCCGCACAAGCGGUGGAGCAUGUGGUUUAAUUCGAAGCAACGCGAAGAACCUUACCAAAUCUUGACAUCCUUUGACAACUCUAGAGAUAGAGCUUUCCCCUUCGGGGGACAAAGUGACAGGUGGUGCAUGGUUGUCGUCAGCUCGUGUCGUGAGAUGUUGGGUUAAGUCCCGCAACGAGCGCAACCCUUAAGCUUAGUUGCCAUCAUUAAGUUGGGCACUCUAAGUUGACUGCCGGUGACAAACCGGGGGAAGGUGGGGAUGACGUCAAAUCAUCAUGCCCCUUAUGAUUUGGGCUACACACGUGCUACAAUGGACAAUACAAAGGGCAGCGAAACCGCGAGGUCAAGCAAAUCCCAUAAAGUUGUUCUCAGUUCGGAUUGUAGUCUGCAACUCGACUACAUGAAGCUGGAAUCGCUAGUAAUCGUAGAUCAGCAUGCUACGGUGAAUACGUUCCCGGGUCU